UAUUAAAAAUGCAUAUAGCGAUUAAGUUUCGGCCUUAAUACAGGAUAAUAUCCUUUUAAUAA
Molecule: transfer RNA, 62 nt
Filed under: Cochlostyla marinduquensis
Lineage: Eukaryota; Metazoa; Mollusca; Gastropoda; Stylommatophora; Camaenidae
Description: tRNA-Arg
Source: RNAcentral